UCAAACACAGUCGCCAGAUAUGAUGCCAGAAAUAACUUCUGACUCUGUUAUUUCUGUUGACCUACCACAUUUCUUCACUUUGGCCUCUUGUUUCUGACCCUCACUCACUUUUGGUUUUGAAAUCAGUUUCAGAAACGCGUUCCUCCCGCAGCUCUGUCCAUGAGUGCAGCACCCCCGGCAGCGCCACCGGAUUUCCCUGGGGAGCCGCUGGGCCCGGCUGGCACGGGCGCUGUGGGCACAGACUGAGUCACCGCCCCAGGCAGCUUUCGGUCAAUUACAUCCCCGUCAUUUGAGCUAAUUCAGUCAAAUGAUACCGUGUCACAGGACUUACUGUACGGCCAGGGGAUUUCUCCUGCCGCCUGAGCCGCUCGGCCUCAGCCCUGAGCAGUGACGGCGCCGUGGGCCGCUGCCAGGGCCCGGCUGUGACAGCAGUGAGCCCCGGCCCGCGGGGCACGGCCCCCUCAGGGACAGCCACAGCCACGGCGAGCCGGGGAGUGCUAACAGAGCUCUGGGAUCCCACUGAGACACUGCAGCGUGCCCCGAGAAGGGCAGCGGAGCUGGGAAAGAAGGGUGUGGGGCAGACCAGCUCUAAUGAGGAGCUGGGGGUCUCGGCCUGGAGGAAAGGAGCCUCACUGAUUUAUGUAUCUGCCGGGAAGGAGAUUAUGGACAGGUAUCAGGAACUGAUGUAUUCCGUUUAUGGUGGAACUGACAGUAAAAUGCAUCAGUGCAGGAACCUGAGCUAUGUCUUGAGUCAGCAUCAUAACCACCAGGCACCUGAGAGGAGAGACAGUGGUGUCUCUGUCCUAGAAUUCCCACCCAGGUGUUGAAAUGGUGAUUGGAAGCUAGACUGCAUCCUGAAGAAGGGCUCUAACCACCUACCAACAGUCUCCCAAAGCACCAGGGUUUGAAAGGACUUGAGAAAAUUAUCUGGUUCUGCCUUCUCCCUUUACACAGCCAAGCAAUGUGAAGCUGUUACUCAUAGAUGUUAUUCUAGUCUGUUAUUAAAAGCAUUCACUUUUGGAGAGUCCACAUCUUUGGGGAUUUCUGUUUAAAGCUUUAAAAAUGUUUAAACUAGAAUUAGUAUUGUUCUUUAUAAUUUGGUGGUCUUUUAAGUUUUUUUGGAAGCAAGAGCCAAUAUUCCCACCUGCUAGAUGGGAAAUUUAAUUACAGAUAACUCUGGGCUGAUUAUGAUGAUGCAGAAAACUCCAUCUUCCCAUAAACCAGCUAUUCUACACAAUGGAUGUACACUUUAAUUCUAUCUUGAUGAACACAGCAACAGUCUAAAAACGUUGGCAUUUUCUCUUUAAUUAACCUCUAAUGUAGCAAUUUAUCUCAAAAACAAUAGUGCAUUGUUUCCUGUGCAUACCCUACACGAGGUUCUCUCCACACAUGGCACCUGUUUUUCAAAGUUAGUCAAAUGGUUUCUUGCUUGCUUACUGUGAUUCAUUAUAAAAUCUUGAAACAGGUUUAUCACAGAACAAGAAAGAAUUAGCAAAAAACUAGAAGGGAUUCCGAGUUUAAACAAAAAAUAAAGGAUCAGAAAGGGCUGCAGAUGUUCAUCUCAUGAUUUGAAUUGCAUUCGAUUUCAAGAGGAGAAAAAAGCAGGACAGAUUGUAAAUUGAAGUAAAUUUCAGUGUCAGCAGUUUUAUUGAUUUUAUCGCAAAUCUUACAAUAUUAAGUAUUUGCUUUGAGCUCAAACCCUCUGAACACACACAAUUCUUGGGUUUUGUUAUCAAAAAAAAAAACAACAAACAAACCAAAAGCCAAAACAAACCAAAAAAAGCCACAGCAAACCACAACAAACUUGAGUGUCUAGUGAAAAAUUGUGCUGUAAGUUGAGAAAUUAUGCACUUGAACUUUCCAGGAUCAUGAAAAUAAUCAGAAUAUGUUUGGCAUGAAAAAAAAAUAAGAUAAUGUCUACCUCAUAUUUGUUCAGAGGGACUAUGUAAAGCAGUGUAGACACCAGCUGUAGAUUUGCCCCAGGCCUGUAAUAAGGAGGAAUUUACAAGACUUUCAAAAGCCAAUGAGUAAAUUAACUUAAAGAGUGAAAUGUUUUUGCACUGUACCAAUUAGUAUUAGCAAUAUGAGCAAAUAGAUGUUAGCAUUCUAGACUGACUUCUGUUUAAAUGGCUUUCUGGAAUAAAUAGGCUGGAACCUGUUCUAGCAAAUUCUUACUGUUUAGAUAAAGCAAAAAACUUUAAAAAAAUAUUUUUAAUUUUCUUGACAUGAAAUUAGGCUUGAAAUUGAUGGGAAGAUUUUUACAUUCUUUCAUUGAUAUUUCUCUCUUUUUCUCUUCAUGUCUCCCCUAAGGAGAGUUAACACACUUGGCAUAGGAGCUUCCUGAUCAGCAAAUUCACUGCCCCUCACCAUACUCUCACAUCAAAAAAUCACUUCUGUAAAUAUGUCAGAUUUCUCUGUAACUGUUUUUUUUUUUCUUUCUUUUCUCUACACACUUCUCCUAAUGGGUGGUUGUUCCUGGGCUUUCAUGAAGUGACUGUUUGAAAAUUUAAUUUUCAAACUAUGUUAUUUCCUAGUCAUUUUCUUUUGUGUGGUAGCUGUCCUCUAUUUUCAUUUUGUAUUACUACUUAUCCUGACAAUAUACAUUUCUAUCUGUACUGCAGAGCUAAGGCUGAUUUGUAUUCUUAUAUCUGACUUUGUAAAAAAGUAGGAGGUAAUUUUGAUUAUUAUGGUUUUUACUCAGUAAAGGGCAAGUUUCCGUGACUUCCGCACAGUCCCUGAUUGCUAGGAACUUGUUACCUGAUUGCCUCAAUUAUUCUAUUUUAAACCUCUUUCUCUAACCUGCAAGAACACAGAAGAAUGAGGUAGUUUGUGUAAUCACAUAUUACUACCUGUUUGAGUUGUGUGUUUUUUGGGCUGUGAUGUUAUGCAGAAUUAUUAAAGACCUCCAAGGUGAACAUCUUUGGCUGAGCUCAGGAAAUUACAGCUAUCUUUAGUUGCUCAAGCUCACAGCAGAACUUAGAAACGUAAGUCUUCUAUCCAGAUGAAUUUGUACUUUUUCACAACAAAAUACAACCAGGAUUUUCAGCUUCCUCAUCUGGAGUGUAAUCUUUUCUUUCUCUUUUAUGUAAAUAAUUUGCAAUGGAAGGAAAAGAAAAAGCAAAACAACUUUUUGAGCCAGAUCUUGCAAUUAAUUUCUAGAAAAACCCAAACACUUAUAUUUUAUAACUCCAGCUAUGAUAUCUAUUUGUUUAUCAUGAGUUGUGCUUUAUAUACAGACCUGCUAUUUUAUCUUCCAUCUACUUGUGUCUGUUCUCCUCCUGCGGAACACCUUUAGUAAGUUUUUUAUUAGGUUAAUUAUUCAAAAAUAUCUUCAAGUUUUAAGUGCUGAAUUGCCUUCUUGAUAAUUCUGCUAUGAUUUCCUGAUACAUUUUAUUUCCAUUCAAAACAGAGUCAAACAAACAUUUUCAGUGUUGCCAUAGACAACAGAGACCACAGCAAGGAGUCUUUGUCACCAAACAGAAAAUGAAAGAAUAUUUUUAAAAAUAUCUGUUUCAUAAUAAAUUGGAAAAAUAGCAAUUAUUUUUACUGUUGCUAGGACUUUAGGAGUAUGAGAAAUACAAAUAUUUAAUAUUUUGACUCCUGUAUCAAUUAUCUAGAUAUACACUGGAAAACUGUUCUUCUAAUCUGGCCCCAUUUAACUGUUAAGGACAAACGAAUGCGGGCAAGAAUAAUUUUGUUCUGACUUCUGUACGUAUGAUUAUUUAUGACAAUUGCAAGUGAGCAGGCUGUGGCUGCUCAGAAAGUUGCUAUUUAGAAGCUAACACAUGCCAGCUGGUUGUGUGAAGUGCUCCAAACCUUUUGCAAUCAAUGACUAAAAUAGUGCUUCAAGCAAAGAGCUGUGUUGGGGCAGCAGCACAAACUCACUCUCAGUCCCCAGGCUCAGCUCCUUAAGCUGCUGUCGUUUGGUCACUUCCAUUGUGAGUGAAUAGAUGAAAACAGACAUGGUCCAUGAAAAAUGAGUUAUCUUUAAAAUCACAGAUGUGACAAUGCACUAUAAAAUUGUGUGUACUGGGAUUUAGUAUCAGAAAUUAUCAGAAAUAUUCCCUCUCUCCCUUUUCCCAUCCACAAACCAAAACAAU
This is a long non-coding RNA of Parus major (Great Tit), 4100 nucleotides long. RefSeq lists it as uncharacterized. The transcript is spliced from 3 exons. The record is from RefSeq and is a predicted model, not a curated record. NCBI's taxonomy places the organism in Eukaryota, Metazoa, Chordata, Aves, Passeriformes, Paridae.